This is a non-coding RNA of Schistosoma rodhaini, 112 nucleotides long. Lineage: Eukaryota; Metazoa; Platyhelminthes; Trematoda; Strigeidida; Schistosomatidae. The record is from Rfam.
GUCCAUAUGACAAUUCGGCGGUACAUAUACUAAAAUAGGAACGAUACAGAGAAGAUUAGCAUGGCACCUGAGCAAGGAUGACACGCAAAAUCGUGAAGUGUUCCAUAUUUUU